This 68-nucleotide transfer RNA is filed under the name Marmota monax (woodchuck). RNAcentral's name for it is "tRNA.Ala". Lineage: Eukaryota; Metazoa; Chordata; Mammalia; Rodentia; Sciuridae. The record is from RNAcentral.
GGAAUGUGGCUCAGUGGUAGAGUACUUGCCUAGCAUGCCUGAUGCCCUGGGUUCUACCCCCAGUACCA